This is a long non-coding RNA of Gorilla gorilla gorilla (western lowland gorilla), 2333 nucleotides long. RefSeq lists it as uncharacterized. The record is from RefSeq and is a predicted model, not a curated record. The transcript has 3 exons. Lineage: Eukaryota; Metazoa; Chordata; Mammalia; Primates; Hominidae.
AAACUGAAGAUUCUUUUUUCUCUCUGAGUAAUGAGACUCUUGGAUGAAAGGCUUAUUCUAUAGAUGGUUUUUAAUCUUCAUUUUCCACUUCCUGGUACCCAGAUCGGCGCAGGGGAGAUCUUUAACCUGGAUAGCAGUUUGUAUUUCUAAUUCAGCCCCAGAUUAGUCUCCUACUGUGUAUAUGAGAUGUUGAACACAAAAGAAAACUACCUGAGAGUGUGAGUUGUGGAGGUGGCUGGGCCAGAUGCUUGCCUGAGUGAUGAGCUGCAGAUAUCGGCUCAAGUGGAAUACUAACAAGGGCUGGUACAUGACUCCAACAUCAUUGAAUUUCCUUUUUCUCCUGCCAGUGGACAUGACAACUGAGGAUAAGGUGGCUGGGAGACCAUGAGGGCAAAUGUGACACAAGGCAGGAGUCUUGCCCGAGCUUGUCAGCUGGUUCUUAUUUCCUCAUGCUGCAGGAGCCUUCUCUGGUGGGGCAGAAAGACAAUGAGAUCUCCAUUCGAUUUUAUGGAUCAGUUUUCACUUUUCCAGAUGCAAAGAGAGGAGCCAUAAUUACCUUGCAUAUGUUUUGAUAGCAUCCCCUGGGCAAGUGGAAGGGGUAACUCACAACAGAUAAACUCUGCUUUUGCUCCAGAAAUGUCUCCUGCAUCUGCAACAGGGGGGUGUUGAGUGAUGCUAUAGGCAGCUGGAAGGGCUCAUUUAUUUGACCUAAUUAUUCCCAGUGUAGACCUGACUCAUCAUAACGGGCUCUUCUUCAAAGGAAAUGAGAGCCAGAUUGUCUCCUUGGCAGCAAUGGAAACAAAUGCUAUCCACAGAAUGGCUGUUAGAUUAAAAAAAGGUGCAACUUGCCUUUGGGACCAGCUGAUGUUUAAUGAUGUUACCAAGAAUAGAGGACUGGAAAGAGAGUAGUGUCAACUUCUGACAUUGUAGCUUUCUAAAAAUGUUCUUAAUAAAAUUAACUUACCAUUGGAUGCCAUGAACAAAAGUAACCACAUACUCAGAAUCCAAGGAAAAAUGGAAGCCUUGGGGUGUUUUUAUUAAUAAUCGACGAAAUCUCUAUGGGUACAAUGGAGGACUUUUCACAGAGACCUUAUUAUUUCUUAAUCCUCUUGGAUGCUCUAUUGAAGGAUUAAAAUGAUCUUUUUUUCCUAAGGGAUGGAGAAAUGGAGAAAGAGAGUUGACAUAACUCUCCUAUUACCAUCAAGCAAAUCAAACACAGAAUGGGACCAGCAUGCCACAUUCCCUCUGCGAAGCCUUAGAGUGCAACUGCAUUAGCUCAAUGGUGCAUUUCACAACGUCACAACUUCAUCUCAGGUCAUCACAAAUUGUCCAUAUUGAAACCUGGGUGCAAUGAGAAUAAUCACUUAAAUUUUCUCUGGUCCCACUUUUCUGCUUUACAGUGGUAGUUGAGAAUGUCAUACCCCUAAGGACAUGGGGAAGAUGUGUCCUUGACUGAUUGAUCCCUGUGACACAGUCUGACACUUUGCUUUUGUUCAGCAAUUCUCAAAGCACUGGAUUGCAAUGAUGCCCUGUUGACAGCACUGUUCAAAAGUCGACCUGUUGUUGCUGGAACCUCCAAGAAUACUGUGUUUGAUCUCAGCUGGGAUCUGUGUUGGAAGAGGAGAGGGAAUCCCACAAACUACUUGUGAAGAAGAUCCCAUUGUUCAAUCAAAUCCUCUGUCACUGUAGCAAUCCAUGUAUGCCGUUGCAGUUGGCAUUCUGACACGUGUACACAGUGUUUUCAUCUCUUCCCUGGAGUUGCAGCCAAAGCCUGAGAUUCCUUUCGACAUGACCCUGAAAAAACUCUGGGUUUGUGCUCCCCUCUGCUCUGCAAUAACAUACCAGCUCUGUGAUGUGGCCAAUGUUUACCUAGUUGGUGGGAGGACUUUUUAAUAUCAAAAGGAAAACAUUUCUUCUGCAUUCCACAUAGAAUCUGCCAAGGACAUUCCCAAAGAUCUACUUACUUAUUAGAGAAACCAAGAGAAUCCCAGCAGCACAGAGGGAUCGAGAAGGCUGAGAACAGAACUGGAGAUUAAUUUGGAGAGAGUUGCCAUCUUGACACUAUUGAGUCUUCUGACCUGUGAACAUGCAAACUGGGACACAUUUGAGAAUGAAAGGGGACACUAUGAGUAAGCCAGGGCAGUUCUGGGCAGAUUGGGAAUUAUGGUCAUCCUACCUGGUGCCCUCUUGUCACUGCAUGUGAUGAUAUCUCGCUGGUGGCAUGGUUCCCACAACUCUCAUUUACUCCUGUCCACCUGAAAAUUUAUUAUGUUUCCAGUGGUUUUAAGUAUAUUCCUGGCACAAAUAUAUCAAUAAAUAAAACCUUAAAAUCA